CCGGUCCGUCCCGUGGACGCCCCUGACCGUCCCCGGGUGCUCGGGCUACCCUGACGGCGUGCGCCUUCCCCCAGAAGACGCAAAGCCGACAGCCGUCGCACUCCAGGGAGCACCUUCAUG
RNAcentral lists this small RNA (120 nucleotides) under Streptomyces ipomoeae 91-03. RNAcentral describes it as "Streptomyces-metH RNA". It matches the Rfam family "Streptomyces-metH RNA". The record is from Rfam by way of RNAcentral. Lineage: Bacteria; Bacillati; Actinomycetota; Actinomycetes; Kitasatosporales; Streptomycetaceae.